Molecule: ribosomal RNA, 479 nt
Filed under: uncultured bacterium
Lineage: Bacteria
Description: partial 16S ribosomal RNA
Rfam family: Bacterial small subunit ribosomal RNA
Source: RNAcentral
GACGAACGCUGGCGGCGUGCUUAACACAUGCAAGUCGAGCGAUGAAGCACCUUCGGGUGUGAAUUAGCGGCGAACGGGUGAGGAACACGUGAGAAAUCUGCCUUCAACUCUGGGAUAACUCCGGGAAACCGGGGCUAAUACCGGAUAUGAGCCUUGAUCGCAUGAUCGGGGCUGGCAAGUUUUGCGGUUGAAGAUGAUCUCGCGGCCUAUCAGCUUGUUGGUGAGGUAACGGCUCACCAAGGCGACGACGGGUAUCCGGCCUGAGAGGGCGACCUGACACACUGGGACUGAGACACGGCCCAGACUCCUACGGGAGGCAGCAGUGGGGAAUAUUGCGCAAUGGACGAAAGUCUGACGCAGCGACGCCGCGUGAGGGAUGAAGGCCUUCGGGUUGUAAACCUCUUUCAGUAGGGAAGAAGCGAAAGUGACGGUACCUACAGAAGAAGCACCGGCUAACUAUGUGCCAGCCGCCGCGGUAA